RNAcentral lists this ribosomal RNA (207 nucleotides) under uncultured bacterium. Its description in RNAcentral is "partial 16S ribosomal RNA". It matches the Rfam family "Bacterial small subunit ribosomal RNA", at positions 568 to 774 of the family's 1533-position model. The record is from RNAcentral.
UGCGCAGGCGGUGAUGUAAGACAGAUGUGAAAUCCCCGGGCUCAACCUGGGAACUGCAUUUGUGACUGCAUCGCUGGAGUGCGGCAGAGGGGGAUGGAAUUCCGCGUGUAGCAGUGAAAUGCGUAGAUAUGCGGAGGAACACCGAUGGCGAAGGCAAUCCCCUGGGCCUGCACUGACGCUCAUGCACGAAAGCGUGGGGAGCAAACA